This 539-nucleotide ribosomal RNA is filed under the name uncultured Sphingobacteriaceae bacterium. Its description in RNAcentral is "bacterial SSU rRNA". It matches the Rfam family "Bacterial small subunit ribosomal RNA", at positions 96 to 633 of the family's 1533-position model. The record is from RNAcentral. Lineage: Bacteria; Pseudomonadati; Bacteroidota; Sphingobacteriia; Sphingobacteriales; Sphingobacteriaceae.
CGGCGCACGGGUGCGUAACGCGUAUGCAACCUACCUUAAUCUGGGGGAUAGCCCGAAGAAAUUCGGAUUAACACCGCAUAAAAUCACAACCCGGCAUCGGGAAAUGAUCAAAUAUUUAUAGGAUUGAGAUGGGCAUGCGUGACAUUAGUUAGUUGGAGAGGUAACGGCUCACCAAGACUACGAUGUCUAGGGGAUCUGAGAGGAUGACCCCCCACACUGGUACUGAGACACGGACCAGACUCCUACGGGAGGCAGCAGUAAGGAAUAUUGGUCAAUGGAGGCAACUCUGAACCAGCCAUGCCGCGUGCAGGAAGACGGCCCUACGGGUUGUAAACUGCUUUUGUCGGGGAAUAAACCUCUUUACGUGUAAAGAGUUGAAUGUACUCGAAGAAUAAGGAUCGGCUAACUCCGUGCCAGCAGCCGCGGUAAUACGGAGGAUCCAAGCGUUAUCCGGAAUCAUUGGGUUUAAAGGGUCCGUAGGCGGUCAGGUAAGUCAGUGGUGAAAGCCCAUCGCUCAACGGUGGAACGGCCAUUGAUAC